AUUGGAAUUAAGACCUCUGUUCUACUUUCAUUGGUUAUAGAUCCAAGAGGUAUGAUUAUAAGGACAGUCGGGGGCAUCAGUAUUCACUGUCAGAGUGAAAUUCUUUGGAUCAGUUGAAGACCUAACUACUGCGAAAGCAUUUGCCAAAGGAUGUUUUCAUUAAUCAGGAACGAAAGUUAGGGGAUCGAAGACGAUCAGAUACCGUCGUAGUCUUAACCAUAAACUAUGCCGACUAGGGAUCGGACGGUGUUAUUCAUGACCCGUUCGGCACCUUACGAGAAAUCAAAGUGCUUGGGCUCCAGGGGGAAGUAUGGUCGCAAGGCUGAAACUUAAAAGAAAUUGACGGAAGGGCACACCAGGGGUGGAGCCUGCGGCUUAAUUUGACUCAACACGGGGAAACUCACCAGGUCCAGACACAAUAAGGAUUGACAGAUUGAGGGCUCUUUCUUGAUUUUAUGGGUGGUGGUGCAUGGCCGUUCUUAGUUGGUGGGGUGACUUGUCUGCUUAAUUGCGAUAACGAACGAGACCUUAACCUGCUAAAUAGCCCGCAUUGCUCCGGCAGUGCGCUGGCUUCUUAGAGGGACUUUCGGCUCAAGCCGAAGGAAGUUUGAGGCAAUAACAGGUCUGUGAUGCCCUUAGAUGUUCUGGGCCCGCACGCGCGCUACACUGACGGGGUCAGCGAGUUCCUUGGCCGAAAGGCCCGGGUAAUCUUGUUAGCCCCCGUCGUGCUGGGGAUAGAGCAUUGCAAUUAUUGCUCUUCAACGAGGAAUCCCUAGUAAGCGCAAGUCAUCAGCUUGCGUUGAUUACGUCCCUGCCCUUUGCACACACCGCCCGUC
Molecule: ribosomal RNA, 836 nt
Filed under: uncultured fungus
Lineage: Eukaryota; Fungi
Description: SSU rRNA
Rfam family: Eukaryotic small subunit ribosomal RNA
Source: RNAcentral